This 241-nucleotide long non-coding RNA is filed under the name Coturnix japonica (Japanese quail). Its description in RNAcentral is "lncRNA (ENSCJPG00005000147.1)". Lineage: Eukaryota; Metazoa; Chordata; Aves; Galliformes; Phasianidae. The record is from RNAcentral.
GUGAGGAGCGUGUAGAUCAGAUGUGGAGAGCUUGUUUUUUUCUUGUUUUGGAUUUCAUAUGGAAGAGAAGGUUGAGGAGAAGUGGUGGUGAAAUGCAGCCAGUUUAUUUACAAACAACAAACCAAGUUUAAAUGGAGGAACAAAAGCAUACCAGAUGACAAACAGUGAGGUAAGUAAACAGAAAUAUGAAAACAUGUUGACACAAAUUACUUUGAAACAAGUUCAGAUUGUGAUGCUGUGA